CUUGGGUACUGUAUAAAACCUACAACUACUAGCAGGGUGACCAGACUGGUCUUGGGUACUGUAUAAAACCUACAACUACUAGCAGGGUGACCCCCUCCCUCCCCCUCCACACAGGUAUGUUUUCACUUUUCUGAAUAUUGUCAAAUAAGACACAGCCUAAACAUUGCUAUGACAGAUUUGAAUGAAUCCCAGCCUUAGUGUCCUUAAUAGUCAAUAAGUACACACUACUAUGUGUCCUACUGCCAUCACUAGUCACAAAGGGUAGUAGAGGAUAUUAUAUAAAUAUUCCAACAAAUAGACUACGAUUCAUUCAAAUGAAAUGUCCCAGAUGUUCGUGAGAUGUUCACUGUCAACCCUGUUGAUUUGAUUGAAUUCCAGCCAUAUUACCAGCAGAUGUAUGGCUGAAUGAAUGAUAGGUAGCCUGGGUCCCUUCACAGACUGUAGAGUAGCGCCCAAUCCAAAAUAGACCCCUGGACACUUCUCCCCUCACCAAUGCUCAGGGCCCUUCAUUCAGAUGUCAAACUAUUGGGUUUAAGCAAUGUAGAGCCAUUUGAUGUAGGUGGACUUUCUGGCCAUAUAGUUUACAUUUAUCUAAUCCUUUCAGAUGAGUAGUGAUGUAUAGGGGACAGGGGACAGGGAUUAACUAGAGGUUCUGGUGUACAGUAGACUAGCUAGCUGGGGUCUGUUCAGCGAGGGGACAGGGAUUAACUAGAGGUUCUGGUGUACAGUAGACUAGCUAGCUGGGGUCUGUUCAGCGAGGGGACAGGGAUUAACUAGAGGUUCUGAUGUACAGUAGACUAGCUAGCUGGGGUCUGUUCAGCGAGGGGACAGGGAUUAUCUAGAGGUUCUGGUGUACAGUAGACUAGCUAGCUGGGGUCUGUUCAGCGAGGGGACAGGGAUUAUCUAGAGGUUCUGGUGUACAGUAGACUAGCUAGCUGGGGUCUGUUCAGCGAGGGGACAGGGAUUAUCUAGAGGUUCUGAUGUACAGUAGACUAGCUGGGGUCUGUUCAGCGAGGCUGCAGAUGGAAAACCAUUCAUGACGUCCUGUCUGUUCUGUUCUACACCAUAUAUAUUUCUAAGUAUGGUGUUUUGUAACGUUCCACCCUGCUGAACAGAGACCAGGUGAUGAUGUAAAUACAAUGUAACUACCUCUGAACUAGUUUGUUAUUGUUCCUAUGGACAGGUUGCCUGAAGUCAUGAAAAUGAUGCAGAAGGCCUUACAGUACAGGACACAACAGGUGUAUAACAGUACAGGACACAAGUGUAUAACAGUACAUUAUUCAACUGAUAGUCUGAUAGAGAGGCAUCUAGGUCAGAUGACAAGAAGCUGAAUGUCGUUGGUCAGAUGAAGCUGCCAUGUGGCUCAUUUCAACUAGUUUUGUCUUGUUAGAACUGACCUCAAGUUAAUGCUAAAAUUCGCUAUCUAACAACUGUCACAAUAUAUUUGAAACAAGUACUCAUUCUACACAUGUAUGUGUUCAAUAAACAUUGGAGAUGAA
Molecule: long non-coding RNA, 1499 nt
Organism: Oncorhynchus tshawytscha (Chinook salmon)
Lineage: Eukaryota; Metazoa; Chordata; Actinopteri; Salmoniformes; Salmonidae
Source: Ensembl